AGCUCCACCAAAACAAGAUGAUAG
RNAcentral lists this non-coding RNA (24 nucleotides) under Arabidopsis thaliana (thale cress). Lineage: Eukaryota; Viridiplantae; Streptophyta; Magnoliopsida; Brassicales; Brassicaceae. The record is from RNAcentral.